Molecule: ribosomal RNA, 253 nt
Filed under: uncultured bacterium
Lineage: Bacteria
Description: partial 16S ribosomal RNA
Rfam family: Bacterial small subunit ribosomal RNA
Source: RNAcentral
UACGAAGGGGGCUAGCGUUGCUCGGAAUGACUGGGCGUAAAGGGCGCGUAGGCGGCUUGCACCGUCAGAUGUGAAAUUCCUGGGCUUAACCUGGGGGCUGCAUUUGAUACUGUCGGACUAGAGUACAGAAGGGGCAACUGGAAUUCUCGGUGUAGCGGUGAAAUGCGUAGAUAUCGAGAGGAACACCUGCGGCGAAGGCGGGUUGCUGGGCUGAUACUGACGCUGAGGCGCGAAAGCCAGGGGAGCGAACGGG